RNAcentral lists this ribosomal RNA (412 nucleotides) under uncultured bacterium. Its description in RNAcentral is "bacterial SSU rRNA". It matches the Rfam family "Bacterial small subunit ribosomal RNA", at positions 482 to 891 of the family's 1533-position model. The record is from RNAcentral.
CAGAGGAAGGACGGGCUAAGUUCGUGCCAGCAGCCGCGGUAAGACGAACCGUCCAAACGUUAUUCGGAAUCACUGGGCUUAAAGGGUGCGUAGGCGGUCCGGGAAGUUGGGUGUGAAAGCCCUCGGCUUAACCGAGGAAUUGCGUCCAAAACUGCCGGACUUGAGGGAGACAUAGGUGAGCGGAACUUAGGGUGGAGCGGUGAAAUGCGUUGAGAUCCUAUCGAACACCAGUAGGGAAAGCGGCUCACUGGUUCUCUUCUGACGCUGAGUGCACGAAAGCUAGGGGAGCGAAGAGGAUUAGAUACCCUCGUAGUCCUAGCCGUAAACGAUGAGCACUGAUUUGGAGGGUCCUCCAUAGCCUUCCAGAUGUAGCGAAAGUGUUAAGUGCUCCGCCUGGGGAGUAUGGUCGCAA